RNAcentral lists this ribosomal RNA (301 nucleotides) under uncultured bacterium. Its description in RNAcentral is "partial 16S ribosomal RNA". It matches the Rfam family "Bacterial small subunit ribosomal RNA", at positions 509 to 809 of the family's 1533-position model. The record is from RNAcentral.
CAGUAGCCGCGGGAAUACAGAGGGUGCGAGCGUUAAUCGGAUUUACUGGGCGUAAAGCGUGCGUAGGCGGCUUCUUAAGUCGGAUGUGAAAUCCCUGAGCUUAACUUAGGAAUUGCAUUCGAUACUGGGAAGCUAGAGUAUGGGAGAGGAUGGUAGAAUUCCAGGUGUAGCGGUGAAAUGCGUAGAGAUCUGGAGGAAUACCGAUGGCGAAGGCAGCCAUCUGGCCUAAUACUGACGCUGAGGUACGAAAGCAUGGGGAGCAAACAGGAUUAGAGACCCGCGUAGUCCCUGUCUCUUAUAA